CAGGCUUACCAUGCAGUCGAGCGGGUGUAUCAAUCAUCAGCGGCAGACGGGUGAGUAACGCGUGGGAACGUACCUUUUGGUUCGGAACAACCCAGGGAAACUUGGGCUAAUACCGGAUAAGCCCUUACGGGGAAAGAUUCAUCGCCGAAGGAUCGGCCCGCGUCUGAUUAGCUAGUUGGUGGGGUAAUGGCCCACCAAGGCGACGAUCAGUAGCUGGUCUGAGAGGAUGAUCAGCCUCACUGGGACUGAGACACGGCCCAGACUCCUACGGGAGGCAGCAGUGGG
This 285-nucleotide ribosomal RNA is filed under the name uncultured Hyphomicrobiales bacterium. RNAcentral's name for it is "uncultured Rhizobiales bacterium partial 16S ribosomal RNA". It matches the Rfam family "Bacterial small subunit ribosomal RNA", at positions 54 to 354 of the family's 1533-position model. The record is from RNAcentral. Lineage: Bacteria; Pseudomonadati; Pseudomonadota; Alphaproteobacteria; Hyphomicrobiales.